CUUUCAAACUGAAAGAAUUUAUAAUCUAAUUUAUUAAUAUUCUCUGGAAAAGACAAAGAUACAACAGUAUGCCUGUUUAGAAAGUAUUUCAUAACUCACUCAGGGGAAAAACCUUACCUCAUUUCGGGAAAAAAUUGGGAUUUUGCCCUGUCCUUAUGUGCUAUUUUCCGUAGUAUUUUUCCAGUAGUACUUCUCCAAAUCAAGCUAGGGACAGUUCAGCUUCAAGUUUUAUUGACAUUUUUUGUGGGCAUGAAAUGCUUUUUUUAAUACCUUACUUUAACUCAUUUUGUGUAUUUCUAUGGGAUUCCUAUUUCUUUUCUGAAGAAAGGAGAAAAAGUCAUUAACUUAGAGAAGUUCAGACUUUUCAGAAGGUCAUGAAUCUGACAAGCCAGAAGCAAUGGAUCCUUCUCCAUCUGCCUUUUAUUUCCAGCACAUUUAUACAACCUUCAAGUCUUUGUUUUUCAAAUCUCAGGGAGAGCUACGCAUCCUGGAGUCAAUUGAUGGUUAUCAGGAAGGUGUUUUCAGCUAUUUUCAAAAUACCUUGCAUCUAUGGAACGUGUGUGUAUUUUUGGGUAAUGGCUACUGGACAUCUCCUUGCUUCCUGGUUAUGCCAGGAGUGCCUUUUUCCCUUCAGUACGAUUCCUUCAAACAUUUUGAUGCUUAGGAAGCUAAAUGAGAGAUGGAUUCCUGGGUCAAAGGCAUAUGAGCGUGUUUCCUCACUGGAGAAGCUGUUCAGGAAGGGCUGCAGUCACAGAAACUCAUAGAGGAGUUCCCGUUGUGGCACAGCAGGAUUGGUGGUGUCUUGGGCGUAAUGGGACACAGUUCGAUCGCAGCCUGGCCCAGUAGGAUAAAGAUCCAGCAUUGCCACAGCUGUGGCUUAGGUUGCAACCAUGGCUCAGAUCUAAUCCCUUUCCCAGGAACUCCAUAUGCCUAAGGGUGGCCCAAAAAGAAAAAGAAAAAAGGUUCAUAGAGAUUGUGGGUUCUUCUUUGCUAAGUCUCCAGUACUUACAGGACAGGGUAGUGUUAUAAAAAGAAUAAGGUCUUCGGGAUCUGGCAGAAGGGGUUUAAAUUCCAGCUUGGUCACUUUUAGCUCUGGGACCUUGGCCAUGUCUUUUAAUCUUUUUGAGUCUUGGUUUCCUUGUGUUACAAUGAAGACAUAUGUAUACUACACGUAGGAUGAGAAGUAGUGUUUAUAAAGGGCCCAGGACAUAGGAGGCCUUUAGUAAAUCUCACAUAGUAAUAUUUCUUCUUUAUAUUUAUUUCUUGGUUUGUGUGGGUAUGGCAUGUGGGCAUCUCAAAUGAAAAUUUUGGACAUGUUUACAUUGAAACAUAAUCAAGUUGAUAACUCACUUGACUCUUACUGUUGCAAGACCCCUUGCUGGUGUGAAUGAAGAGGGACUAGAAAGAAAGUGGCAGGAGGUGGUGAAACAGGCAUUUGACCAAUGAUCAAAUUAUGAACACUGGCAAUUAGAAUACAAAUGCAAAUUUGUGUGGGUGUGGGUGUGUGUGUGUGCGCGAGAGAGGGAGAGAGAGAAUAUUUUUUUUUACAAUUGCCAUUCAGAAUUGCAAAGCUGAGACUUCCAUCUGUGAUCACUCAUCAUCUGAGGUUGUCUCUAUUUGAUUUGUAAUAUAAAUACAGCCCUCUUGUUCUUCCAGAUAUUCAUUCUUCAGAGUGUGAACGUGAAAUUAUGUAUAGAUUUAUUUUAUCUGAAGUUGAGGGGAAAGCCUUUUGCAGGGUUGACUAUUUAUUCCUUAAUCUCCUGUUAGAAUUUCUCUAGCUUCAUUCUUCCAGCGUCUAGAAUUAUUUUCAUCUACUGAUUUUGGAUGUAUGAAAGUUUCUUCAUUGUGAGGUAUAUAUUCCCUCAGGCAAUAUUGCUUUUAACUUUUAAAAAAUGCUGAAUUAUUUACCCACUAUUAUAUAAUCCAUCUCCUCUUCUGGGAGAGUGGGAGUUUAAUACAACUCAAGCUUGUAUUGCUGAAAUUAGGAAAUUUAGAUACAGAGGUAGAACAAGGAAAUAAUGAAACCAUGCCUUACUUAUAAGGGUGACACAGUGGACUAACAUGUAAAGAUCUUUGCAGUGAUUGGCAGGUAGAAAUCACAGUGUGUGGGGGUGUCUGUGUGUGGUGCCUCCCACCAUGAGGAGCAGAGAGACCUACUGCUUAGGAGUCUGGCCUCUGGAGCUAUACCGAUUUGGUUCAAAUCCAGGCAACAUCACAUACUAGCUGAUUUUGAGCUGCCUUCCUAACCCCUUUGUGUCUAAUUGAGGCAUCUACAGAAUUGGGAUAAUGGUGUCUAUCUCAAUUGAUGUUGUGAGGAUUAAAUGCCACAAUUCAGAGUAAAACUCAUAGAGCAGUACCACCUGGCAUCCAUAAAUACUUGGUAGAUAUUUGCUGGUUGUUGUUGUUAUUCGGGGCGUGCCCACAGCAUGCAGAAGUUUCUGAGCCAGGAAUCAAACCUGCAUCACAGCCGUGACUACACUGAAUCCUUCACAUGCUAGGCCACUGGGGAACGCCUAGUUAUUAUUAACAUUUAACAGUUUUUUUUAAAAUUAAUCAUCUAACAGUUAACUUCUCUUCUCCAUCCUUCAUAAUAUUACAUAGAAAGGAAUAAACUGAGUUGUUUUUCCUGUGAUAUUCCACAGCUUCUAUAUAGGCAAUCUCUCUGAUUCUUUGCAACACUGGAUGAACAGCUCUGGGCAGUUUUGUAUACUUCUGGUCACCUUCUGUGGAAAGGAGCCCUCGGUACUGAGGCUCCCCAGUUUGAAAGACCCCAGGAAGGCUAGAUGAGGGGGAAAAAAACCCCCAAGAGUUUCAGCUAUUUUCCAGUGUCCUCAAGAAUCUAUUUUUUUUAAAUACUGAUUUUUAUUUUUCCAUUAUAGCUGCUUUACAGUGUUCUGUCAAUUUUCUGUGGCACAGCAAGCUGACCCAGUCACACAUACAUGUAUACUUUCUUUUUUCUCCUAUUAUCAUGCUCCAUCACAAGUGACCAGACGUAGUUCCCAGUGCUAUACAGCAGGAUCUCAUUGCUUAUCCAUUCCAAAGGCUAUAGUUUGCAAGAAUCUAUUUUGAAAU
This 3072-nucleotide long non-coding RNA is filed under the name Sus scrofa (pig). Its description in RNAcentral is "lncRNA (ENSSSCG00060045304.1)". The record is from RNAcentral. Lineage: Eukaryota; Metazoa; Chordata; Mammalia; Artiodactyla; Suidae.